AAUGAACGCUGGCGGCAGGCCUAACACAUGCAAGUCGAACGGAUCCUUCGGGAUUAGUGGCGGACGGGUGAGUAACGCGUGGGAACAUACCCUUUGGUACGGACUACCCUCGGGAAACUGGGAGUAAUACCGGAUGUGGUCGAGAGCCGAAGGAUUUGUCGACAAAGGAUUGGCCCGCGUUGUGUUAGGUAGGUGGUGGGGUAAUGGCCUACCAAGCCGACGAUCCAUAGCUGGUUUGAGAGGAUGCACAGCCACACGGGGACUGAGACACGGCCCAGACUCCUACGGGAGGCAGCAGUGGGGAAUCUUAGACAAUGGGGGAAACCCUGAUCUAGCCAUGCCGCGUGAUCGAUGAAGGCCUUAGGGUUGUAAAGAUCUUUCAGGUGGGAAGAUAAUGACUGUACCACCAGAAGAAGCCCCGGCUAACUCCGUGCCAGCCGCCGCCGUAA
This 449-nucleotide ribosomal RNA is filed under the name uncultured bacterium. Its description in RNAcentral is "partial 16S ribosomal RNA". It matches the Rfam family "Bacterial small subunit ribosomal RNA", at positions 29 to 523 of the family's 1533-position model. The record is from RNAcentral.